This 74-nucleotide transfer RNA is filed under the name Planctomycetota bacterium. Its description in RNAcentral is "Planctomycetes bacterium tRNA-Gly". It matches the Rfam family "tRNA". Rfam says of the family: Transfer RNA (tRNA) molecules are approximately 80 nucleotides in length. Their secondary structure includes four short double-helical elements and three loops (D, anti-codon, and T loops). The record is from RNAcentral. Lineage: Bacteria; Pseudomonadati; Planctomycetota.
GCACCCGUGGUUCAACGGUAGAAUGUCUGACUGCCGGUCAGAAGAUGAGGGUUCGAUUCCCUCCGGGUGCUCUA